UGACCUCGGAUCAGGUAGGAAUACCCGCUGAACUUAAGCAUAUCAAUAAGCGGAAG
RNAcentral lists this ribosomal RNA (56 nucleotides) under Trichoderma atroviride. RNAcentral describes it as "partial 28S ribosomal RNA". The record is from RNAcentral. Lineage: Eukaryota; Fungi; Ascomycota; Sordariomycetes; Hypocreales; Hypocreaceae.